RNAcentral lists this ribosomal RNA (672 nucleotides) under uncultured Actinomycetes bacterium. RNAcentral's name for it is "bacterial SSU rRNA". It matches the Rfam family "Bacterial small subunit ribosomal RNA", at positions 87 to 763 of the family's 1533-position model. Lineage: Bacteria; Bacillati; Actinomycetota; Actinomycetes. The record is from RNAcentral.
GUACACGAGCGGCGAACGGGUGAGUAACACGUGAGUAAUCUGCCCUUCACUUCGGGAUAACCACCGGAAACGGUGGCUAAUACCGGAUACGACCAGUCCUUGCAUGAGGUGCUGGUGGAAAGUCUUUUCGGUGGAGGAUGUGCUCGCGGCCUAUCAGCUUGUUGGUGGGGUAAUGGCCUACCAAGGCUUCGACGGGUAGCCGGCCUGAGAGGGUGACCGGCCACACUGGGACUGAGACACGGCCCAGACUCCUACGGGAGGCAGCAGUGGGGAAUAUUGGACAAUGGGCGAAAGCCUGAUCCAGCAACGCCGCGUGAGGGAUGACGGCCUUCGGGUUGUAAACCUCUUUCAGUAUCGACGAAGCGCCCUGUCGGGUGGUGACGGUAGAUACAGAAGAAGGACCGGCCAACUACGUGCCAGCAGCCGCGGUAAUACGUAGGGUCCGAGCGUUGUCCGGAAUUAUUGGGCGUAAAGGGCUCGUAGGCGGUUUGUCACGUCGGGAGUGAAAUCUUACAGCUUAACUGUGAACUUGCUUUCGAUACGGGCAGACUUGAGGCAUUCAGGGGAGAACGGAAUUCCUGGUGUAGCGGUGAAAUGCGCAGAUAUCAGGAGGAACACCGGUGGCGAAGGCGGUUCUCUGGGAAUGUUCUGACGCUGAGGAGCGAAAGUGUG